RNAcentral lists this ribosomal RNA (241 nucleotides) under uncultured bacterium. Its description in RNAcentral is "partial 16S ribosomal RNA". It matches the Rfam family "Bacterial small subunit ribosomal RNA", at positions 1251 to 1500 of the family's 1533-position model. The record is from RNAcentral.
UACCCACGCGAUGGGGUGCGAAUCUCGAAAGCCUAUCUCAGUUCGGAUUGGAGGCUGAAACCCGCCUCCAUGAAGUUGGAUUCGCUAGUAAUCGCGCAUCAGCCAUGGCGCGGUGAAUACGUUCCCGGGCCUUGUACACACCGCCCGUCAAGCCAUGGGAGCUGGGGGUGCCCAAAGUUGGCAGGAGAAUAUGUUACCUAAGGCAAAACCGAUGACUGGGGUGAAGUCGUAACAAGGUAAC